This 298-nucleotide ribosomal RNA is filed under the name Argas giganteus. Its description in RNAcentral is "partial 12S ribosomal RNA". The record is from RNAcentral. Lineage: Eukaryota; Metazoa; Arthropoda; Arachnida; Ixodida; Argasidae.
GUAUAAGUUGUGAAAUCAAAAGAUUUUGGCGGUAUCUUAAGCUUUUUAGAGGAAUUUGCUCUUUAAUUGAUAUGACACCAAUAUCUUACUUAAUUUUGUAAAGACAGUUUGUAUAUCGCUAUAAUAGAAUUAUAUUGAAAGGUUAUAAUUAAGAGAUAUUUUUUUUUAAAAUGUUAGGCCAAGAUGCAGCAUAUAUUUAAGGUUGAAGUGAAUUACAAGGAUUGUUAUUUCAAAUAGUUGAAAUGAAGAAAUAGGAUUUAAAAGUAAAAUAAAAUUAUAAUGUUAUUGAAUAGCUCUA